ACAAACUUGGUCAUUUAGAGGAAGUAAAAGUCGUAACAAGGUUUCCGUAGGUGAACCUGCGGAAGGAUCAUUACAGAUUAUUUUCAAAAAUAAAAUUGGGUUAGGUUGUUGCUGGUUUUCUUUUUCUUUCUUCAAAGAGGAAAAAAACAUGUGCACAUUUAACUCCAGUUUUUUUUGAUCACCUGUGCAUCUUGCGUAGAUUAUUGAACAUUUUAUUUCUCAGUUGAGAUUUUUUUUUUCUUUCAACUGGAUUGAGAAAGAUGUCUCAAACAGGUGUAGACUCUUCUUGUGCAGAAAAAAGUUCAGAUCUAUGUUACUUUUUUAAAACACACACACACAUUGUUAUUUGGAAUGAUUAAUGAAUAAUAAUAAAAAUUCAAUUGUAAAACAACUUUCAACAACGGAUCUCUUGGCUCUCGCAUCGAUGAAGAACGCAGC
This 438-nucleotide unclassified non-coding RNA is filed under the name uncultured fungus. Its description in RNAcentral is "partial contains small subunit ribosomal RNA, internal transcribed spacer 1, and 5.8S ribosomal RNA". The stretch from base 1 to 73 matches the Rfam family "Eukaryotic small subunit ribosomal RNA", at positions 1759 to 1831 of the family's 1831-position model. Lineage: Eukaryota; Fungi. The record is from RNAcentral.